GACGAACCGUGCGAACGUUAUUCGGAAUCACUGGGCUUAAAGCGCGUGUAGGCGGGAGUGCACGUCCGUCGCUGAAAUCCCCCGGCUCAACCGGGGAACGGGCGCGGAUACGACCUUCCUGGAGGGGCGUAGGGGGACCUGGAACUUCCGGUGGAGCGGUGAAAUGCGUUGAGAUCGGAAGGAACGCCCGUGGCGAAAGCGAGGUCCUGGACGCCUACUGACGCUGAGACGCGAAAGCCAGGGGAGCGAACGGG
Molecule: ribosomal RNA, 254 nt
Filed under: uncultured bacterium
Lineage: Bacteria
Description: partial 16S ribosomal RNA
Rfam family: Bacterial small subunit ribosomal RNA
Source: RNAcentral